AAUCUUGGACAAUGGGGGAAACCCUGAUCCAGCCAUGCCGCGUGAGCGAUGAAGGCCUUAGGGUUGUAAAGCUCUUUCAGCUGGGAAGAUAAUGACUGUACCAGCAGAAGAAGCCCCGGCUAACUCCGUGCCAGCAGCCGCGGUAAUACGGAGGGGGCUAGCGUUGUUCGGAAUUACUGGGCGUAAAGCGCACGUAGGCGGACUAGCAAGUUGGGGGUGAAAUCCCGAGGCUCAACCUCGGAACCGCCUUCAAAACUGCUGGUCUUGAGUUCGAGAGAGGUGAGUGGAAUUCCGAGUGUAGAGGCGAAAUUCGUAGAUAUUCGGAGGAACACCAGUGGCGAAGGCGGCUCACUGGCUCGAUACUGACGCUGAGGUGCGAAAGCGUGGGGAGCAAACAGG
RNAcentral lists this ribosomal RNA (399 nucleotides) under uncultured bacterium. RNAcentral's name for it is "partial 16S ribosomal RNA". It matches the Rfam family "Bacterial small subunit ribosomal RNA", at positions 360 to 776 of the family's 1533-position model. The record is from RNAcentral.